This 535-nucleotide ribosomal RNA is filed under the name Escherichia sp. RNAcentral's name for it is "bacterial SSU rRNA". It matches the Rfam family "Bacterial small subunit ribosomal RNA", at positions 216 to 743 of the family's 1533-position model. Lineage: Bacteria; Pseudomonadati; Pseudomonadota; Gammaproteobacteria; Enterobacterales; Enterobacteriaceae. The record is from RNAcentral.
UGCCAUCGGAUGUGCCCAGAUGGGAUUAGCUUGUUGGUGGGGUAACGGCUCACCAAGGCGACGAUCCCUAGCUGGUCUGAGAGGAUGACCAGCCACACUGGAACUGAGACACGGUCCAGACUCCUACGGGAGGCAGCAGUGGGGAAUAUUGCACAAUGGGCGCAAGCCUGAUGCAGCCAUGCCGCGUGUAUGAAGAAGGCCUUCGGGUUGUAAAGUACUUUCAGCGGGGAGGAAGGGAGUAAAGUUAAUACCUUUGCUCAUUGACGUUACCCGCAGAAGAAGCACCGGCUAACUCCGUGCCAGCAGCCGCGGUAAUACGGAGGGUGCAAGCGUUAAUCGGAAUUACUGGGCGUAAAGCGCACGCAGGCGGUUUGUUAAGUCAGAUGUGAAAUCCCCGGGCUCAACCUGGGAACUGCAUCUGAUACUGGCAAGCUUGAGUCUCGUAGAGGGGGGUAGAAUUCCAGGUGUAGCGGUGAAAUGCGUAGAGAUCUGGAGGAAUACCGGUGGCGAAGGCGGCCCCCUGGACGAAGACUGA